This 342-nucleotide RNase P RNA is filed under the name human gut metagenome. Its description in RNAcentral is "Bacterial RNase P class A". It matches the Rfam family "Bacterial RNase P class A". From Rfam's summary of the family: Ribonuclease P (RNase P) is a ubiquitous endoribonuclease, found in archaea, bacteria and eukarya as well as chloroplasts and mitochondria. Its best characterised activity is the generation of mature 5'-ends of tRNAs by cleaving the 5'-leader elements of precursor-tRNAs. The record is from RNAcentral. RNAcentral also lists the same sequence under 1 other name.
AGCGGGCUGUGUGGCAGCGCGUGGGAAUUUUCCCCGUGAGGAAAGUCCGGGCAUCACAGGACAGGAUAGCUGCUAACCGCAGCCGAAGGCGACUUCAGGGCAAGUGCAACAGAGAUAUACCGCCGCGGUUUUCCGCGGUAAGGGUGGAAAGGCGAGGUAAGAGCUCACCGCCGGCGCAGGAGACUGUUCCGGCCUGUAAACCCUAUCCGAUGCAACGCCGAACGCACGAAUCCGCUGGUCCGGCGGUCACCAGUGCAACGGGCGGCACCGAGCACACGCGGCGACGCGGUGCCAAGAUAGAUUGCCACACUCGACAGAACCCGGCUUACAGGCCCGCUCGUU